UAUACUGGAAUUAUUUUAUACCAUCAAUAGAUGGGAUAAAUUAAUCCCGAAAUUAUAAUUCCGAGAUAAUUUUGACUGCCUACCAAACGACCCCUGAGAGUAGUAUAAAAACUAAAAAAGGUGAAAGAAAUAACAAAAGAAAAUGGAAAAUACAUAUUGAUCAUCAAAUUUACUUUCCUUCCUGCCGAGUAUUUGCCGCUUCACAGUAUAUGAUGGCGGGAUGGUCAGCACUUCUAUAUGACCUAAUUGAAUCAAUCGCAAACCAAUUGAACACAGUUGAAGAUUUCCAUUCAUUUUCCUCAGUAUGCCGCUCCUGGAGGAUAGUCUAUAAAAGCAAUAACUGGCAUCCUAGUCUUCAAUUACCAUGGCUCAUGCUUGGGGAAAAGCAAGCCAACAACGGGCCCAUACGACAAUUCGUUAGUAUGUGCAAGUUUAAGUUUCAUAACUUGACAUUGCCUGAAACUCAAAAUUGUUCGCCUUGUCAACCCUUUUACUCGUGUUUGCACUAAUCUUCCAUCGAUUAGCACAUUAAACAUCCAAGGUGAUUGUUGGUUUUCUGCUAUUCACAAAGCUAAACUCUUCAAGAUUCAAAAUGGAUAUAUGGUUUUCAUUAUUUAUGGCCGUCAUAAUGAUGUGGCAUUCACUAGAUUGGGAGAUAACAGGUGGUCUUUGGUUCAAUCUUUAGCUCGUUUUGUUGAUGUUGUGUGCUUCAAGGAUCAAAUUAUGGCACUUUCGUUUGUGGGAACACUCUUUUCUCUUGACACAAAUGGAGUUGAUCCUCCAUGGAUGUUGGAGAUUAGUCCUCCUCCCAAACAAGAGAAAUCUUGCCAGCGGCUAUAUUUGGCAGAAUCAUCAGGAGAUCUCUUGAUAUUAUUUUAUUAUGGAAGUAGAUUCAGAGCAUACAAAUUUGAUAUCUCGGAAAGGAAGACAAGGAAGACAAGGGUCGAGCACAAGCCAGCCGUGCCAGGAUCUUUGAGACUCCUGCAGCAAAAGACAAAGAAAUCGAAGCCAUCAUUGACCAUCAGUUAGUCCGAGGCAAAGGUUGGGGCAACUCGAAGGCUCAAUUUCUUGUCCAUUGGAAGGGACAGCCGCCCGAGGAGGCUACAUGGGAAGCAUACGAGGACUUAUGGCAAUUCAAGGAUAAGGUCCAUGAAUUCUUGCAGUUCUGUGGCGCCGCGGUCGUCGCCAAAACAGUUGAGGGAGAGUGUGCCAUCCCGCCCUUUUCCGCGCCUGUCAGUCCGCAACUAGCGCCAGGCUCUUGAUAUUAUUUUAUUAUGGAAGUAGAUUCAGAGCAUACAAAUUUGAUAUCUCGGAAAGGAAGUGGACGAUGCUGGAGGACUUGGGUAAUAAUGUGCUACUUAUCGACGCCUAUAUUUGUACUUCCGUUCCUGCCCGUGGUCAUCUAAAGUGCAACUGCAUCUACUUUGUGGAUGACAAUGUGGACUUGUUGUUGGCACCCGGAUGGAAAUCUAUGGGGAAUCACUUGGGAAUGUAUAACUUAAGAGAUGAUUACAUGGAAUAUAUGCAUUUAGGAAAUGAUACUUCCUUUAGGUAUAUUUGCCCAACCUGGUUACUUCCUAGUUUGUGGUAGAAACUUAUGACAUGCUUAUUGUUUAACUAGAUGGCCCGUGCCCAUGCAUGGCACGGGCGUCUGCCCGGUAUAGCUGUGUGCAUUAUUUGUUGUAGUAUUUGAUGGUAUUGGUCUGAAGAAGCAGAUGCAUAAUAUUUGUAUUAGAAAAACCAUCAAUACCAGAUUAAUUAGUAAUCAACUCUUUAUCAA
Long non-coding RNA from Lycium barbarum (goji berry), 1780 nucleotides. RefSeq lists it as uncharacterized. NCBI's taxonomy places the organism in Eukaryota, Viridiplantae, Streptophyta, Magnoliopsida, Solanales, Solanaceae. The transcript is spliced from 2 exons. The record is from RefSeq and is a predicted model, not a curated record.